GGUGGUAUAUUCAAGUGGCUCAAGAAGAAGAUCUGCAAAAUCUUUAUACAUAGGUUCAAAUCCUAUUACCACCUCCA
Molecule: transfer RNA, 77 nt
Filed under: Bacteriophage sp.
Description: tRNA-Cys
Rfam family: tRNA
About the family: Transfer RNA (tRNA) molecules are approximately 80 nucleotides in length. Their secondary structure includes four short double-helical elements and three loops (D, anti-codon, and T loops).
Source: RNAcentral